RNAcentral lists this unclassified non-coding RNA (1257 nucleotides) under Centruroides sculpturatus (bark scorpion). RNAcentral describes it as "uncharacterized LOC111620222, transcript variant X4". Lineage: Eukaryota; Metazoa; Arthropoda; Arachnida; Scorpiones; Buthidae. The record is from RNAcentral.
AGAACUGUAGUUUAUUAUUGUGUUAACACUAAUAGACAACGAUUGUCAUCGCUGUAAUUGCUUAAGGUAAUUCUGUCAUGUCCGCAUGAAAACAUCCGAUGGGUCGAAAAUCAUUAUGGAAAUCUUUGUUUUCCAAAAAUAAAUCAGUGGAUGACAGAAGUACUGAGCCAAGUUCCACUACUUCAAAUUCGGAAUCGCGAAUAAUCGAGGAACAAACUGGAAACAAUGAAGAUCCUAAAUCUAGGGUGGAAAGUAAUAACGAUGACAAAACUGCCGAAAAAGAAAGGUCAAUUUCCGUAAAUUAUCCCGUAGAAGGUAAGAAAAACAUUCAAAAAGUGGUAGAAGUUCCAGCAGAAACGUUUAUACUACGCAAAAUAGAAAAAUCUGAAGCUACAUUAAAUACUCAAAUUGCCACUGUAAAUACAAUAACUAUUUUGGAACCCGAGAUUAUAUCUUUAGAAAAAACAGAAAUUAAUGAAGAAGAAAAGAAACGUAGAGCUGCCGAAGACUUAAAGAAGAAAUUAAAGUUAGGGCUGUUUGGUGGCGAUAGCGCAGCCAUUGCAUUGCUGUAUGACAGUGCCACAGGUAGAAACAAAUGUAGCAUGAAAUCUGACGUAAAUGAAAAUGAUGCAAAAAUAACAGAACAGCAUGAAAAUAUUUGUUGUACUACAAAAGAAGGAUGUGUAAUGUCCACUUCGUCUCGUAUUGACAACAUGCUGUCACCUCGAGACAAGACGAGACAAGAUUAAACCAAACAAAAUAUAUGAACCAUUUAUUUCAACACAGGGCCCGAGAAGCCCAGUUCCAUCCAUCCCUGUCGACACCUCUUUAAAAUAUUCACGAGGUUUUCUCAUAGCCUGGAUUCGAUCCCGAGUCUUUCAUAGCUGAUUUUUAUCCGUUUGGUCGUCCGUUGUACAAUAUUAAGUGUAAUUGCAAAGAUUCUGUUAAAAGUCAUAAGCCGAAGUCUUCUCUACGUGUUUACAACUCAGAAAAAAAGAUAUGCACUGUGAGGAAACCACAAAACGAUAACGAUACAGAAAAAAAUUGGGAAGAAAGUAAAGAAAAAUUCAAAGAAAAUCAGUUAAUUAAUUCAAAAAAUAUAGAAAAAUUCACUUAUUUCGAUUACGUAUACGAUUUCAAACAUUACAAAAAGUAUUGUAAUGUUUGAAAUGGUAAAACACUUGCGAUUAAGUUCCUCUAACGAAUAUAUAUGAAUAUAUUUCAUUGUUAAUUAAAAUUGUUAUUAAUUUUCGAACC